UGGGGGAUAUUGCACAAUGGGCGAAAGCCUGAUGCAGCGACGCCGCGUGGGGGAUGAAGGCUUUCGGGUUGUAAACCUCUUUCGCUAUCGAACAAGGCCCGCUUAGGGUGGGUUGAGGGUAGGUGGAGAAGAAGCGCCGGCUAACUACGUGCCAGCAGCCGCGGUAAUACGUAGGGCGCGAGCGUUGUCCGGAAUUAUUGGUCGUAAAGGGCUUGUAGGCGGCUCGUUGCGCCUGCUGUGAAAACGCGGGGCUUAACUUCGCGCGUGCAGUGGGUACGGGCAGGCUGGAGUGUGGUAGAAGUGACUGGAAUUCCAGGUGUAGCGGUGGAAUGCGCAGAUAUCUGGAGGAACACCGAUGGCGAAGACAGGUCACUGGGCGAUUACUGACGCUGAGGAGCGAAAGCAUGGGUAGCGAACAGG
This 420-nucleotide ribosomal RNA is filed under the name bacterium. RNAcentral's name for it is "partial 16S ribosomal RNA". It matches the Rfam family "Bacterial small subunit ribosomal RNA", at positions 355 to 776 of the family's 1533-position model. The record is from RNAcentral.